Gossypium raimondii (Peruvian cotton) is the source of this 3251-nucleotide RNA transcript. RefSeq lists it as uncharacterized. NCBI's taxonomy places the organism in Eukaryota, Viridiplantae, Streptophyta, Magnoliopsida, Malvales, Malvaceae. The record is from RefSeq and is a predicted model, not a curated record. The transcript is spliced from 7 exons.
GAAAAAUAAACUUCAGUGCUCCAUAAAGACCAAUAGAAAGCUAGUUUUUUUCUUUUUCUUUUUCUCUUUCUCCUCACAUUCUUGUCGUCAAAAUUCACAGGCACGUCUCUUUCACCUGGAAUUUUCUUUCACUUUCAACGAGUUUCAAUCAAAAUUUCCUCCUUUUUUUCCCAUUUCUUUUGGUCUUCUUUUUUUGGAUUUUUUUGUAUAAUGUUUUUGAAUUUGGAAUUUUUAUCUGGUGAAGAAAUUAGCUGGAGUUCUGUUGUUUCCAAUUGUAGGGCAUAGGAUAGUUUAUAUCUAUAUAUAUAUAUAUAAUGAAUUUUGUGAGCUGAUUUAGAGGUUGAUUUUGUAAUUUUUGGCAUAUUUAUUUCAAAGUUGUGAUCUUAGGUUCAUUAUUAGGAGGCAAAUGGGUUAUCUGCAUGAGGGACAAAAAUGACAGAUUUUCAACCUUUAAUACAAAAACCUGAAACCCCCAAGUGAUGCCAGAGCUGAAUUCGAAAGGGGUUUGGAAGAAUUAAUGAGGGGGCAUUUAGAUGAUUGUAUGUCAUUUGCAUCAUGUAGUUCUAGUAGAAAUCCUGAUGAUGAGGAUGAUGAGGCUGAUCAACUUGUUAGGAGGAGGGGAAGGUCUGAUAUUGAAGGUGAUGACUUAGCCGAGUCAUCCGCCACAAGAAGGCGGCAAUCUAGGAUUUUGAGUAUGUGGGCUGCUAGGCAGGCUCAGGAAAUGAUAACUACAAUGGAGAGGAGGAAUAGGGAGUCCGAGCUGAUGGCUUUAGCUGGUUUACAUACUGUUUCGAUGCUUGAUUCCUCUUUCUUGAGAGAGUCAGAGUCGCCUACUUCUAGAGGACAAGGUGGGAAUGUUGACAGGCCCAGCACUCAGGCUUCUGCCAUUUUGCAAAUGUGGAGGGAGUUGGAGGAUGAGCAUUUGUUGGAUAGGGCACGGGAGAGGGUGAGGGAAAGGUUGAGGCAGCAAAGGAAUGCUGAUGAUAAUAGGACAAUGUCUAGUAUGACUUUGAAUGAGAGCCGCGGGAGUGAUAAUCAUGGGAGCGUUGGGGAUGUUACUGAGAGUGAGAAUGAGUAUGGAACUUGGACGAACGAUCAAGGUGUGUUGCAGAAUGAUCAUGGUGAUAAUAAUGGGUCUAGUAGGGAGCAGUCUCCUGAUCUUGGUGAAGUUGAGAGGGAGAGGGUGAGACAGAUAGUUCGGGGAUGGAUGGAGAGUGGGAUUAGUGAUCAUUCAUCCAGUGUUACCCAAAGGGCUGGCAACCGUAGAGCUGAAUGGCUUCGUGAAACGGAGCGUGAGAGAGUUAGAAUUGUCCGGGAGUGGGUACAAAUGUCAAGUCAACAGCGAGGAGUUCAUUGGGGACAUAGGGAAGAUCAGGCAGCUAUAAGCGGUGCGCAAGUUGACCGAGUUCCUGAUGGCUCAGUUAAUGAUCAAGAUGAAGGCCAACCAGAGCACAUUCAGAGAGACUUGCUGAGAUUGCGUGGAAGACAAGCAGUAAUUGACUUACUUGUGAGGACUGAAAGAGAAAGACAGAGAGAACUUCAGGGUUUAUUGGAGCACCGUGCUGUAUCAGAUUUUGCUCAUCGUAACCGCAUUCAUUCACUACUCAGAGGUAGGUUCUUGCAUGAAAGACCUGUUGAAGAGGAGAGACCAACUUCAGUGGCAGUGAGUGAAUUAAAUCAAUUAAGACAAUGGCACACUGUAUCUGGUUUGAGGGAAGAGUUCCGGAACAGAUCAGAAGCAAUUGUACGUGGUCAAGCAAACAGCGAUUCAGAACCCAUGACUAGCAAUGUCUUCAAUGAUUCUAGAGAUGAAAUUUCCCAAACAAAUAUGUCACAAGAUGUCCAACGUGAAAACAAUGAGGAUAUGCAACCUAGGAGUUUGGGAAGUCACUUUGGACGGUUGCCUAAUCAAACAGGAAAUACUGUUAGCAACAUGCUAGCCGUUGAGAGCAUAAGUUGGCAAGAAAAUGCUACCCAAGGUGGGAAUUGGCGGGAACCAACAACCAAUAAUGAGAGAGAAAGCUGGCAACAGUCAAGAUAUGCUCAGUUUAAUGAAUGGAGAGAGGGAAAUGCAGAAGAAAUGGAUACAAAUUGGCAAGAAAGUUCAUAUAGUUAUUAUCGCCAAGAUAUUCCUGGAAAUGUAAAUGGAGAAGAAAGUGAUUCUCAGGAAGCCCAAAGAGUUUGGCAUGAGGAUGGCUCUCGCGAAGCUGUUGAAAAUUGGUCAGAAGGGCCUUCUGAUCCUCCAAGGGCACGUCGUGCAACCCCAGUUGGAAGGUUCAGUAGAUUUCAUCCACCUGUAGAUGAUAAUGUGUACAGUAUGGAACUUAGAGAACUUCUGAGAAGGAGGAGUGUCUCUAAUCUUCUUCGAAGUGGUUUCCGGGAAAGUCUAGACCAAUUAAUACAAUCUUAUGUGGAAAGACAAGGCCGUUCACCCAUUGAUUGGGAUCUGCACAGAAACUUGCCAACUCCAGCCUCACCAGAGCGUUAUCAAGAGCAGCAGAGGGAUGAAACAAAUGAUAAUCAGAAUGAUGCUAGUAACAGGCCUUCACUUGUGCUACCUUCUCCUCCAGUGCCACCCCCACAGCCAUUGUGGCAGCAGACUUUACAUCACACUAGCUGGUCUAGGCACAGCAUGCAUAGAUCGGACCUUGAAUGGGAGAUGAUUAAUGAUCUAAGAGCUGAUAUGGUGAGACUCCAGCAGGGGAUGAACCACAUGCAGAAGAUGUUGGAAGCCUGCAUGGAUAUGCAGUUGGAGUUGCAGCGAUCCGUCAGGCAGGAAGUCCCUGCAGCUUUGAAUCGUUCAGCUGGUGAAAAAGGUUCAAGUGCAGAAGCAUCAAAUGAUGGGUCAAAUUGGGGUCAUGUGAGGAAAGGGACUUGUUGUGUUUGUUGUGAUAGCCAUAUUGAUUCGCUUUUGUACAGAUGUGGACACAUGUGCACUUGUUUAAAAUGUGCAAAUGAGUUGGUUCGUGGUGGGGGAAAAUGCCCGUUAUGUCGAGCACCUAUUGUCGAGGUAAUCCGUGCAUACUCAAUAUUGUAAAGAGAUGAAAGAACAAAAUAGGAGUUGAACAGUAUUGUCCUGCAAUAGGUCUAAAAGAGCGAAUGUGAGAUAAAAAUGCCACAAUUUGUAGAAUGAUCAGUUGUUGGGGGGAACGCUACACAGUGCAUAAUCCGUGUAUAGUUGGAACAACAAUUGGCAUCUUUGAUUCUUCAUUCAUGCAUAAAUAAAAUGUCGUAGAUAGAAAUUUUUUUCU